RNAcentral lists this ribosomal RNA (253 nucleotides) under uncultured bacterium. Its description in RNAcentral is "partial 16S ribosomal RNA". It matches the Rfam family "Bacterial small subunit ribosomal RNA", at positions 524 to 776 of the family's 1533-position model. The record is from RNAcentral.
UACGAAGGGGGCAAGCGUUGUCCGGAUUUAUUGGGCGUAAAGAGCGUGUAGGCGGCUUUACAGGUCCGUUGUGAAAACUCGAGGCUCAACCUCGAGACGCCGGUGGAAACCGUAAAGCUAGAGUCCGGAAGAGGAGAGUGGAAUUCCUGGUGUAGCGGUGAAAUGCGCAGAUAUCAGGAAGAACACCCGUGGCGAAGGCGGCUCUCUGGGACGGUACUGACGCUGAGACGCGAAAGCGUGGGGAGCGAACAGG